Dipodomys ordii (Ord's kangaroo rat) is the source of this 65-nucleotide non-coding RNA. NCBI's taxonomy places the organism in Eukaryota, Metazoa, Chordata, Mammalia, Rodentia, Heteromyidae. The record is from Rfam.
GGUGGCUCAGUGUGAGAGUGCUUGCCUUGCAUGCAUGAGGCCCUGGGUUCGAUUCCUCAGCACCA